This 436-nucleotide ribosomal RNA is filed under the name uncultured bacterium. Its description in RNAcentral is "partial 16S ribosomal RNA". It matches the Rfam family "Bacterial small subunit ribosomal RNA", at positions 29 to 507 of the family's 1533-position model. The record is from RNAcentral.
AGCGAACGCUGGCGGCAGGCUUAACACAUGCAAGUCGAGCGGGCAUCCUUGUGGUGUCAGCGGCAGACGGGUGAGUAACGCGUGGGAACGUGCCCUUCGGUUCGGAAUAACUCAGGGAAACUUGAGCUAAUACCGGAUACGUGCGAGAGCAGAAAGGUUUAUCUGCCGAAGGAUCGGCCCGCGUCUGAUUAGCUAGUUGGUGAGGUUAUGGCUCACCAAGGCGACGAUCAGUAGCUGGUCUGAGAGGAUGAUCAGCCACACUGGGACUGAGACACGGCCCAGACUCCUACGGGAGGCAGCAGUGGGGAAUAUUGGACAAUGGGGCAACCCUGAUCCAGCCAUGCCGCGUGAGUGAUGACGGCCUUAGGGUUGUAAAGCUCUUUUCUCCGGGACGAUAAUGACGGUACCGGAGGAAUAAGUCCCGGCUAACUUCGUG